This is a long non-coding RNA of Onychostoma macrolepis, 1143 nucleotides long. RefSeq lists it as uncharacterized. The record is from RefSeq and is a predicted model, not a curated record. Lineage: Eukaryota; Metazoa; Chordata; Actinopteri; Cypriniformes; Cyprinidae. The transcript has 2 exons.
CAUAAAUCGCAAGAUGCAAUUUCACAGGGUCGGACGCCACCAUACGUUCUAGCCUGUAGUAGACAUUUGUUGACGAUAGUAGCCUACAAUAGCGUGAUUGACAAUGCUGCUGAGGUAAAAAUAUAUCCUGACACAUCUCAAAAGGCGUAAAUGAAUAACCCACGAGGCAAGUGCAUUGAUCUGUAACAUAUUUCUCUUAAUCGAAGUAGAUAAAACUUACCGGUAUGACGCGAUGUUGCUUUACACGGUAAGAUGUUUCUGUCGGUGGAUACUUUUGAACAUGUUUUAUUAGAAGAAAGUGAUUAAAGUGUGUUGGUGCUUUUUUAAACAUUUGGUCACGUUUCGAGUGCGCUUUUAAAAGAAGAAUAAUGACGUUCUUGACAAAUAGCCUAAAUAAAACGUAGGCUAAAUAUACCGUAUGUAUCUCGUUUUGCAAGUUAGAUUAUUAGCCUACAGAUCUUUUUAUUAUUGUUAUUAUUAUUAAAGUAAUCUGUACAUUCUUGUGGGAGAGACUUUUCAAGUCAAAAAACAUUUGGUCUUUUUGAGUUUUGCGCUAGCUGCAGAAUUGUAUCACCCAUAAACACAACUGCUCUCGUGUCCCUUCUGCGUUUGUCUGUUGCGCAAUUCACUUUUCAUUUUUUUGUAUAGUCUAGAGCAGGAACACCAAUCAGCUACAUUUUACCAAAGCACGAACUGUGUUGGGAGGGAGGUGUCAAGCCCAGAGGCUGAAUUUCGGCCAAUUAAAGUCGUCGACCCCCUUUGCAAUACGUCAGCCCGCUAAGGGAGGGCUCUGAGCGUGAGCUAUGUGUGCGGUUUCCAAGGCAACCACUUGUCCUGACCUCCCCAUCCCCAUCCUCCUCAGGCAAGAUUGGUUUCCAUGGUAAUGAUUGUAUCUCCCCGCAUGUUUCUAUUCCCGUAAAGCAAGCUGAGCGAACGGUCGGAAAGUCGCCUGCUUUCCUCCAAAGUCUGUCGGACAAUUUCUCUCUGCAUUAGUUCUGCAAGAAAAUGCGAUGAUAUGAGAAUAUGCUAUAGCCUGUAUUGGCCUGGGUAAAACCGUAUGUGAUUAUUUUCACUAACACAGAUAAAGUAGCCUAUUUUUUCAUUUAUAUAUAAAUAAAUAAAGAGCUGCAACUGUUAAAUGCA